RNAcentral lists this ribosomal RNA (253 nucleotides) under uncultured bacterium. RNAcentral's name for it is "partial 16S ribosomal RNA". It matches the Rfam family "Bacterial small subunit ribosomal RNA", at positions 524 to 776 of the family's 1533-position model. The record is from RNAcentral.
UACGUAGGGGGCAAGCGUUGUCCGGAAUUAUUGGGCGUAAAGAGCGUGUAGGCGGUCCGGUAAGUCAGCUGUGAAAGUCAAGGGCUCAACCCUUGAAUGCCGGUUGAUACUGUCGGGCUAGAGUCCGGAAGAGGCGAGUGGAAUUCCCGGUGUAGCGGUGAAAUGCGCAGAUAUCGGGAGGAACACCAAUGGCGAAGGCAGCUCGCUGGGACGGUACUGACGCUGAGGCGCGAAAGCGUGGGGAGCGAACAGG